UCCUCCUCCAUUGUUACCUGCAACUCUAAUCCCAAUUUCACCUUCUCACCUUCUCUUCUUCUCCUUUUCCCACCUCUUUCUCCCCUUCGAUCUUUCUCUAAAUUACAAAAACAUAAUUUACAUCCCCAAAUUCUUCAAUUGAAAAGUUUAAUCCAUUCUAAAAUCAUGUAAACUAAUUAUUUCUUUUUCUCUCUUUACCUUUGUAUCUCUGUUCCAAGCUCUUUGUUUUUGUGAAUUAUUUGGUGAUGAUUGAUUGAUUGUGUGUUGUGUAUAAAAGCGAUGGAAGUGACGAGUCAAAUACAAAGUUAGAUAUAGAAUUUGUUUGUGAAGAAAUGGAGAUGACGAUGAAGAAAGAGAAGGAUUUGGAGGAGAGACGGUGAUCGGAAAUAACGUCGGAAAACCCACCAUAGACAAUGUCGAAGAAAAUUCAUGGAAGAUGAAGAAGAAGAGAAACAAUUAGAUGUGAUGAAAAAAAAAAAAAAAAUUAGAUGUAUAAAAAAGGGUAAAAAUGUCAAAACAACAUUCUCUCUCUUGUCCAUUCAAUUAAAAAAAUAGCAUAGAUAGAAACUUAAUUAUAAAGUCUUUUAUGGUCAGAUAGUGUAGAUACCCAUCUUUCAAUUAUGUACUUUUCACAAAACAAAAACUAAAAACUGUUGCUCCUUGAAAUGAAAUACAUGAUCAAUAG
This 685-nucleotide long non-coding RNA is filed under the name Arabidopsis lyrata. Its description in RNAcentral is "long non-coding RNA (ALYR_LNC000588)". Lineage: Eukaryota; Viridiplantae; Streptophyta; Magnoliopsida; Brassicales; Brassicaceae. The record is from RNAcentral.